UACGAAGGGGGCUAGCGUUGUUCGGAAUCACUGGGCGUAAAGCGCACGUAGGCGGAUUGUUAAGUCGGGGGUGAAAUCCUGAGGCUCAACCUCAGAACUGCCUCCGAUACUGGCAAUCUCGAGUUCGGAAGAGGUUGGUGGAACAGCUAGUGUAGAGGUGAAGUUCGUAGAUAUUAGCUAGAACACCAGUGGCGAAGGCGGCCAACUGGUCCGACACUGACGCUGAGGUGCGAAAGCGUGGGGAGCAAACAGG
RNAcentral lists this ribosomal RNA (253 nucleotides) under uncultured bacterium. Its description in RNAcentral is "partial 16S ribosomal RNA". It matches the Rfam family "Bacterial small subunit ribosomal RNA", at positions 524 to 776 of the family's 1533-position model. The record is from RNAcentral.